Molecule: transfer RNA, 71 nt
Filed under: Thermoleophilaceae bacterium
Lineage: Bacteria; Bacillati; Actinomycetota; Thermoleophilia; Thermoleophilales; Thermoleophilaceae
Description: tRNA-Glu
Rfam family: tRNA
About the family: Transfer RNA (tRNA) molecules are approximately 80 nucleotides in length.
Source: RNAcentral
GGCCCCGUCGUCUAGUGGCAGGACACAAGGUUUUCGACCUUGGUGCGCGGGUUCGAUUCCCGCCGGGGCUA